GGCAGCAGGCGCGCAAAUUACCCAAUCUCAAUACGAGGAGGUAGUGACAAGCUAUAGUGACUCCACACCAUUCGGUGGGGAGGUAUUGUCUUCUGACGAUUUUCCAUGAUUUGGGUGUAGAUAACCCUUAGAGUAGCCAUUGGAGGAAAAGUCUGGUGCCAGCACCCGCGGUAAUUCCAGCUCCAAGAGCGUAUAUUAAUACUGCUGUAGUUAAAACGCCCGUAGUAUACCUAAGAGUGGGUGUGUAGUAAUUAGUUUUGCCAGAGGACGGUUGGCGAGAGUUUAUCACUCUUGUUUACCUACUUUUGGUAGACUUUAGUCGGGCUGGACCUUUGGUCCUCGUCUGACAGUUGCUACGUGCUUACUUACCACGGUUCAUCCGUGAGGCCCUUGGCUUGCAACUGUAAAUAAAUCGUUGUGCUUAAAGCGGGCUAUGAUACUCUGCCAGAGCGAUUUAGCAUGGGACUGCAGAGUAGCUGUAUUUGAGUGAAGGUUGCACCUCGGUGUGGCUGGAGCUUGGUACAGCGCUUGUAAUGGAGCUCAGGGUGAGGCCCCGGGUACCAUGAGGCUAGAGGUGAAAUUCUGAGACCCUCAUGUGACCAACUAAGGCGAAAGCUGUCGUGGGCCACCACAAGCUCGUCUAUCAGGGACGAAAGUUGGGGGAUCGAAGACGAUUAGAUACCGUCGUAGUCCCAGCUAUAAACGAUACCAACCGAGUAUUUGGGAAGACACUAUCCCAGCGAUCUUCUCAGAACUCAGGGAAACCUUAAGUCUUUGGGUUCUGGGGGGGAGUAUAGUCGCAGACCGAAACUUAAAGAAUUG
RNAcentral lists this ribosomal RNA (822 nucleotides) under Naegleria pagei. RNAcentral's name for it is "SSU rRNA". It matches the Rfam family "Eukaryotic small subunit ribosomal RNA", at positions 424 to 1155 of the family's 1831-position model. Lineage: Eukaryota; Heterolobosea; Eutetramitea; Acrasida; Naegleriidae. The record is from RNAcentral.